RNAcentral lists this ribosomal RNA (429 nucleotides) under bacterium. Its description in RNAcentral is "partial 16S ribosomal RNA". It matches the Rfam family "Bacterial small subunit ribosomal RNA", at positions 355 to 776 of the family's 1533-position model. The record is from RNAcentral.
UAGGGAAUCUUCCACAAUGGACGCAAGUCUGAUGGAGCAACGCCGCGUGAGUGAGGAAGGUUUUCGGCUCGUAAAGCUCUGUUGUUGGUGAAGUAGGAUAGAGGCAGUAACUGGUCUUUAUUUGACGGUAAUCAACCAGAAAGUCACGGCUAACUACGUGCCAGCAGCCGCGGUAAUACGUAGGUGGCAAGCGUUGUCCGGAUUUAUUGGGCGUAAAGCGAGCGCAGGCGGAAUGAUAAGUCUGAUGUGAAAGCCCACGGCUCAACCGUGGAACUGCAUCGGAAACUGUCAUUCUUGAGUGCAGAAGAGGAGAGUGGCAUUCCAUGUGUAGCGGUGGAAUGCGUAGAUAUAUGGAAGAACACCAGUGGCGAAGGCGGCUCUCUGGUCUGCAACUGACGCUGAGGCUCGAAAGCAUGGGUAGCGAACAGG